GAGGCACGAAAAUCAUUUUGCCUCUUCUUUUAGGAUUGCCCAUAUAUACAAGGAGUCUGAAUGGACAUGAUAUUGUAAAGAAUAUGUUACACAAGCAUUUCCGGGUCCUUACAAGGAUGCCAUUUCCGACGUCACUCCAAAACCAAGAGAAUGUAAUUGUUGUAAGCGAUACAAAAUAACAAAACAAAGGAACAAGGCUGAUAUCAAUGCAACCUUGUCAGCUCUUCCACUCUCUU
RNAcentral lists this unclassified non-coding RNA (236 nucleotides) under Hevea brasiliensis (rubber tree). Lineage: Eukaryota; Viridiplantae; Streptophyta; Magnoliopsida; Malpighiales; Euphorbiaceae. The record is from RNAcentral.